UACGUAGGGGGCAAGCGUUGUCCGGAUUUAUUGGGCGUAAAGGGCGCGUAGGCGGUCAGCACAAGUCAGUUGUGAAAUCUCCGAGCUUAACUCGGAACGGUCAACUGAUACUGUGCGACUAGAGUGCGGAAGGGGCAACUGGAAUUCUCGGUGUAGCGGUGAAAUGCGUAGAUAUCGAGAGGAACACCUGCGGCGAAGGCGGGUUGCUGGGCCGACACUGACGCUGAUGCGCGAAAGCCAGGGGAGCGAACGGG
This 254-nucleotide ribosomal RNA is filed under the name uncultured bacterium. RNAcentral's name for it is "partial 16S ribosomal RNA". It matches the Rfam family "Bacterial small subunit ribosomal RNA", at positions 524 to 776 of the family's 1533-position model. The record is from RNAcentral.